Molecule: non-coding RNA, 46 nt
Organism: Aedes aegypti (yellow fever mosquito)
Lineage: Eukaryota; Metazoa; Arthropoda; Insecta; Diptera; Culicidae
Source: Rfam
CAAUCGGCCCUUUUCAGGGCCAAAAUACGUUCAUAAAAGGGUUUAU